AAGUCGUAACAAGGUUUCCGUAGGUGAACCUGCGGAAGGAUCAUUAACACGUAUCCAACGUUAAACCCCCCUGUGAACUUUUAUACUUGCUCUCCUAGCCCGCCGGAAUUGCAAUAUUUUGAUUCAGGGACCUCAGUUUGGUAGGCGAAGAUCGAGCGAUCGUUGCAAGUGGCCUGGUUUCCCCAAGCAGUCAGUGUCUGGAAGUGUCAUUGAUUGUGUAAGGAUAACGCUUUUCGAUCACUAGAGGCCGAACACCGGCCGGUGACCAGGUCGCCGUGGCUUCGGCCCCCUAUAUUAACCCCACUACCUGAACUCGCCUCGUAGGAAACUGCUGGGCAACAAAACGAACAACUGUUAACAAUGGAUAUCUUGGUUCUC
RNAcentral lists this unclassified non-coding RNA (378 nucleotides) under fungal sp. RNAcentral's name for it is "partial internal transcribed spacer region". The stretch from base 1 to 46 matches the Rfam family "Eukaryotic small subunit ribosomal RNA", at positions 1786 to 1831 of the family's 1831-position model. Lineage: Eukaryota; Fungi. The record is from RNAcentral.